Long non-coding RNA from Neofelis nebulosa (Clouded leopard), 5838 nucleotides. RefSeq lists it as uncharacterized. The record is from RefSeq and is a predicted model, not a curated record. The transcript is spliced from 2 exons. NCBI's taxonomy places the organism in Eukaryota, Metazoa, Chordata, Mammalia, Carnivora, Felidae.
AAGUUGGGGCUGAGUUGGGGGACCAGAGAGAGAAAGUGGGGGCGGACCGGCUCCGGGGGCACAUGACGGCGGCGCCCGCCCCGCCCCGCGCCCGCCCCCUGUCCGGCCCGGGGGGAGGAGACGGGAAGGUUUUAAAAGCGAUUCGGCCCCGCGGCGGGCCGGCCAGUGAGUGGGAUGGAGCCGGGCCCGCGACCGACCCCGGCCCGUCUCGGGUCCGCCGCCCGCCCGCGUCUCUGCCGCCGGGCCCGGGGCGGCGGCCGGAGCCCCGAGUGCCGGCUCCCCUCCCCCGCGGCCCCACACUGACCUCUGACCCCAGCACUGGACUUGACUGCCACCAGAGCCCCCAGCCCUACACUGACUUGCCUAUUCAGCCCAGCCAGGCCCAGCCAGGCCCAGUGGCCUCCCGAAUGCCUUGAAGGUGCAGUUGGCUCUCCUGUCACCUGCCCCAGUCCUAACCAGCUGCUCGCUCAUGAUGACGGGUGCCAUGUGAGGUUAAAGCUGGGGGGUGGUGUGGGACCCCUGGCAUGAAGGCUGUCCUCUGGCAGCUCUUCCCAUGCCCCCCGGAGCUGGAGGGCAGUACCCGACAGGUGCCCUGGCUUAGAGGCGAGGUGAUGUGGGACACACCCUGUCCGCUCGCCCACGCACCCUGCCUGGGCCGGCCCCUGCGCAUGUGUUCACACGCCGCAGUCCCAGGAAGGCACGUCCUGGGAAGGCACGGGCCCUGGGGCCUGGUGCCAGCUCCGUCCUAGCUCCCAGAAGGGCACCCGUUGCCCUCUGCCCUUGCAGGAUGUCCUCUGGGAGCUCCUUCGAGACCCCAACUGGCAGGCCUCGUCUGUGGGCCCAGAGGGGGCCCUAAAAUAGCUGCUGGCCUAGCCCAGGGCUGGCACGCGGAGCACAUGCGUGACAGGGCGUGUCCAGGGGGGUCGGGCCUGUCUGUGCUAGCCCGGCCUCCAAGUCUCUGCAGACCCUUGCUCGCUGGAGAGAAAUCUCGGAGGCGGAUGCUCCAGGGGUCCUCCCAGGGCCCCCGUACCAACCUCUGCCUGUUGUAAGUGGAGGCCAGAUGUUCUGCGCUGGCCACAGCUGCUGAGCAGCCCCUGUCGCUACUGCAGUCCCAGGGUAACUGGCAUCAUGGUCCGGGUGGGUGUAAGUGGGGUGACCUGCUUCCUAUGGGCCCAGGUGGCACUUGGAUAUACCUUAAAGCAUUUUUUCAGAGUGUGCCCUUCACCUUGGGAAGCUGAGCGGAGGGGCUCUGUUUUCGGUGAAGAAUACUGCUGGGAACCCUGGGUGGUCGCAAAAAGACACUUUCCUGCCCCUCGCUGGGCUGUCUGGCCAGCCCUUUUCCACUCUGGAUACGCUUUCUGCCAGGAGCAGACCUGGCUUUCCUUUAGAUUUGCUGCAUGACCUUGGGCCCGGCCCUGAAUUCCUCUGGGCCUCGGUUUCUCCGUCUGUAAAUGGGGAGCACCAGAAAACAAGCGGAAGAGAGUGCAUGUCCCCUCCUUGUCGCGGGCGCUCGCCUUCAGAUCCCUUUUGGGGCCCCCUGGCCACCUUCCCUCCUGCCAUCAGGUGUCCUGGGUGGACAAGGAGAUGUGUUGGAAAAGGCUGGUCACCUGGAGAGGUCGUACACGGAGGGCAGCGGGCGUAGGCGUGUGGGAAUCCUUGGGCAGAGAAGGACGCCGCCAUGCUGGGCACGGCUGAGUCAUGCUCCAGCAGCGCCUUGCCCCAGGGUGCUGGAGCUGGCGCCACCCUGGGUGUGGUCACUGAGCUGUGGCCCUGGGCAGAGCAGGCCUGGGUGGUCUGGGAUGGGGGGCCUGGGUGGUGAGCGGCCAGGAAGCUGACUUCUGAGACUUGAAGACCUUUGGCCUUCCCCUGGCCUGGGUCUGGCAUCACCAUCCAGGACUGUGGUCACCCACGCCCUUAGAAUGCCUUGAGGAUCCUGGGGACCCCUCAGCCUUGGGCCUGGGAGUCCUGGGGGUGCCGAGGAAGGAGGACAAGGCCCAGAAGCCCGUGAUUCGCCUCGAGGCUGGCGGUCUCCCUGCAAAAGGCAGGCCAGGGCUACGAUGGGGACGUAUGGGGACAAGGCAAGAAGUGAACAUGGCAAUAGGGUGUGCCCCUCAGUUAAGGGCUCUCGGUGUGGAUGUUGGGGGGGGGCGCCCUGGGAAUUCCGUGACUGAUCCUAGGGGGAUUGAAGUUUAAGGCAGGGGCUGGAGUGUGGUGUGGUGUGGCUGGGCACAGUGGGGGCUGGGAAGUGACUUGCACGGUUCCCCUAUUUAUAACAAGUGAUUCAGUCCUCACUUACUCACCCCUUCCUGGGCCUGCCCCCUCCCCCCGGCCCUGGGUGGGCAGUGGGGGCCCACCCACUUGCCACUGUCCUGCCUGCCUCCACCCAGGUGCCAGCCUCUGAGCGUCGCCCAUCGGGAUGGUUGUUGACGGUUGCUGUGUUGGGAUCAGGGUAACGGAUGGGGGGCUGGUGGUCAGGCGGCACUUGGCCGAGCAGCCCAGGUUGGCGGCUGGCUCUGGGCCCGGCCCAGGGAGCCUCUGCGGAGAGUCUAGGCCCAUUAGGCAAAGCGUUAGUGACAGGCUGGGAGGGCGGGCGGUGGCGGGCAGGGCGGGGCCUGCAGCCCUUGGUAUUUUCCGAUCCCAGCUGCUCCGAGAGGGUGGAAAGUAUUUGGGGACCAGGCUUGGGGGCGGUGGUGGUGGCGCCCCCGGCGGAAGCUGCCCCUGAUUCAUUCUUGGAGCAUGGGGUUGGGGGGUGGUGACAGUAAGCCUGCCUGCUUGUGUCUCGUGCCUCCACGCCCUGUACUCAGGCAUACAUACAUACAUCCGUGUGGCUUGGGGCCUGCUCUGCUCCUCCGGCCCAGGGGCCCAUCUUCCCCCCACGCCUCCAGCUGCCAAGGACUUGGCCCUCCCUGGACACCCAUCUCCCAUGAGCCUGAGAGGCACACCUUUGGUAACAGGGGUCCCGGCUCCUGGGCACCUGCACGGCAGCGCCCCAUCCAUGAGAGACCCAGGCCUUUUGUGCCUUUGGGGAUGGGGAGUGGCCUUGGCCCCGGCCUGGGGCUCUGUGCAGGGGAAACCCCACAGGAAACGGGCCUGGCCAAAUGGCCGCCCUUCCCGUUCUCGUCCCUGGGACACGAAUGUGCUGUCUCACUUCCGGAGGCGGCCCAGGGAGGCCGGCCGCCCUGCAGGGCCUUGUCUGCUCCCGGUUGGUGCCCCCAGACCCUGAGGGGACAGGGCUGGGGCCUGAUGGGAAAGCCGGUGGCCACUGUAUGUGUGUGUGUGUGUGUGUGUGCGCGCGCGUGUGCCCCCGCGUGCGCCUGUAUGAAUGGGGGGGGUCGGGGAACAGAGCAGGACAUCUCUUAACACCUGUCUCCCAGUGACGGGCGCCACCAUAUGUGGGUGCCAGGGUCCCACCAGUGUUUGGAAUCUUCACUGCCACCGUCUUUUCUGUUUCUGCCUGAUGAUGACAGCAUGGCCCCAUUCUAAUUACAUGUACCACUUGUGAGAUCCUUACCACGGCAUUAUCUCUGCUUUGUGGAUGGGGAAAGGGAGGCCCAGAGGGGUUGAGUGGCUUUCUAGGAGUCACCCAGCUAGGAUGCUACAGAACCAGGGUUCAGAGCUGCCCAAACUGGCUCCAGAGUUGGGGGUCUCCUGGCCAGAGGGCUCUUAUCAUUAAGGAGAGCUCCGUUUACGACACACAGGCUGGCUUCAUGGGCUUGUGAUCAUGCAGUUCACGGGGUCUCCCCUGCUCGGAAGGACCUGAGCUUGGGUUAAUGCUCUUCUGUCAGCGUCUUGAAAUUCGCAAGUUGUGAAGAAGGGACCCCGCAAUUUCAUUUUGCACUGAACACUGACAAUCGUGUAAGGCGGUCCUGGUGCUGGGUGCUUGUGAAUGACAUACGCUCUUGGUGAAACCUCCCUGUGCUGUGCGGUUGAGGCCCUGGGCUGUUAUACAGAUGGGGAAACUGAGGCUUGGAGGGCAUUUGGGAAACUGCAGAGUGGAGAUUUGCACCUUGGGCCUGCGUCCGGUGCUCUGGGGAUGUGUGUGCCCGCGGGAAGAGCUGGGUACCCGCUGUCGGCAUCCGCUCUGAUGGGGUGCAGGCUAAGGCUUGGCCACUGAGGAGACGGGGCCACGGGAGGGGGGAGAGGCCCUGGUGGUUUCCUCCUGCCCUUCAGUCUUCUAGGAAGUGGCGCCAGCUGGGGUGAGAUCACUUCCUCACCCGCCUGCCCGCCACCCCAUCGACUUCCUCUCCUCAUGGCCCCGUUUAGCCUGCCCAGGGCUUACGGGGGGGGGGGGCGGGAAAAGGGGGGGAACCUGGCUCUGGAAGUCCCUGCAGCCCUCUUAGCUCAGAGGGAUCCUUGGAGCAUCUCUGCCUCUCCGGGCCUGGGCCUGAGCGUGUGGCUGCGGUGGGGGCGUCCAGCCUGGUGGUCCAGCAUUCCCUUCAGCUGCCGCCGUGUGUGGGGACAGGGCUUCCCUACCAAGCCUCAGCGGGGACGUGGAGCACAGAUGUCUUCAAAUCUCAUUUACCUCCUUUGCUCUCUCUCCCCCCCACCCUCAGGUGCCAACCUCCGGUCCCACCUGGUGCCCCCCAACCCCUGUGCCAUGGCCGGCUGGGGUUCCUGGGGAUGGGAUUUGCUGCCUGUCACAAAUCACAUUGCCAGGGAUUUCCAACCGACCCUGAGCCCUGCCUCUGGGGCUGCCGCCACCGCCUUCGCUGCUGAGGACGCUGCCCGGGGAUAGGGCCGGGGAUGGGAGGCCGAGAGGCCCCCCGCCCCCUGCGGCCUGCGUCUGGCCUGGGGAGCAGGGCUUAGCUGCUUGUGAGCAGAGUCCACACCAAGUCGUGUUCACAGUGGCUAAGUUCCGCCCCCCGGGACCCCACCUCCUCUGGCCCUGCCGCCUGCCUGUCCCACUGUCCGGGCCUCCCUGGGCUCUGCCUCCCGUGCCUACUGAGCUGAAACACAGUUGAUUUGUGCAGACUGGCUCAGUUCAGCAGGAACAGGAGUCGAGCCCCCUCGAAGCCUGUGCAGCCUGCCUUCCUCGGGUGGGCUGAUUCCUAGAGGAAAAGCUGAGGACCCAGACCCAGACCUGUGUUGGGCAGAGGGACUUGGGGGAGGGGCAAUAUAGCCUGGAAUGGGGUGGGUGGACCCAGCUGUCUGCUGUAGGCACCCUCCCCCAACUCUGUACUUGGGGGUCCUGCCCCCUGCACAGUCCUACUUCCGGCUGAGGCUGGACAGAACUCCUAGGGAGAAUGGGCAGGUGGGUGGGUGGCCCUCCCACUAGAAAGGGAAGCCAUCUGGGUCCCUAUCCCCUCCCAGUAACCCUCCCAGCCUGGAGCCUUGGCCUUUUCUCUCCCAGGCCUGGUGGGACGUGGACCAGGCCUGUACCUUCCCAGCAGCCAGUUACUCAAGAGGAAGCUGCCCUGGGCCCCCAGACCGUUAAAUGCCAACUCCGGCUUCCGGAACCAGGCUGGCCUGACCUGAGUGUGCCUGGCCUCUUCUCCCUGAACCCUGCGGCGUCCUAACUUUGGGGGUGUGGGGAGAGCUGUGACACUCUCCGGGCACGUGGAGCAGGGAGCAAGGUCCCUUGUGGGCCCAGAAAGGACACAGAUGGGCCUGUUGAGUCCGCUGGUGGCCCUGCAGUGCACGUGCUACUGCAAGACCGGAGACUGUCCAGUAUCAGAUGGGAUGGACCCUGAGUGCGACCAGGCAGAGAGAGAGGCCCCCUAGGCUGUCAGGGCUGGCCCAGGGUACCCUUUCACCCAGGGAUAGGGGCAUACUUCAGCUCGGGGCAGGGUCUGUGCUGUGUGUUGCUAUCCAAUUAAAUAAAACCUGCCUCCUACCUCA